UCAAAUAUUUAUUUAAUUUUCCUUAAUAUUACAGCAGGAAUUUACACCGCAACAUAACAAAAUUGUUGUUUGUAGUAUUACAGCUUCUGCGCUUUAAGAUGAUGACUUUCUUCUUUUCGAGUUCAAUUGGUAUAUAUAAUUUACGAAUGCAUCAAUAAAAACUUACUCUAAACAACUCAGAAAAAGACCCUUGCGUAUAAAGGGAAUUUCAAAGCGGAUUCCUUUACAUCAAACGCACGUUGCGUUGGAGCUACUAUAUCAGUAGACUAGCUGAAGCCCAGCGGAGAGGCAAGUUUACGAUGUAACAGUGCAGGUCGGCUGAUCUGCGAACGAGAUUGGACCUGUAAUUCAGUAGACCGAUAUUUACGAUAUUUAUUGGACGGACGAAACAAUGGAUCGAUAUUGUUUUUCGAUUGGCCGUUCUUUGUGUUUCAUAUGCUGGUGGUUACACACGCGGCGGUUUAUCGCGGCGGCGUGUGUGCGGUUGUACUUGUAUGGAAAACACAGACGCGGUCGUCCGUGCAGAGAGCAAGCCUCGUAAGCAACCGGGAUCUUUAUACGAACGAACAUAAAUAAUAUUUAAUAUGACAGGGAGAAGCGGCGCUGCUUUGUGCGAUAUAUUUGGCAUAGAAAUGUCACCGAUCGCGUAUCUUACUUUCAAAUAAGAUCGCGCUCUUACUUUAUCUCCAUGGCGGAUUGUGCGUCGAGCAUUCAAAAACGCUAUACGUAUCGAUGAGCAUCUUUUUUUUCUUCCACGUAUAUAAGUAUAAUUUGAUCGAGCAAGAACAGUCGGGGCUAGAAGGUUAUAACAUACUACAUUAAUGGCAGGAAAUGAACGAAAAUGGUAUAAAAAUGGUAUGGUUGAAAAUGUUAUCUGCGCUUAUAGAAUAAUGGAGAUGAGUGUAUCAAUGUUUUUACCGUUUAUCUACUUUACUUUUACUCGAUUAGAUAAUGUAAGUAUACCAGCCUUUAUAAUUUCUAACCACGUUCUUUCUCUAUUUCUAAGCAACUCUCGAAUCCCGAUACAUGUACACAUCUUCCAGGAAGUAGCUAGUUCUUGUUCGUACGCUUUCGCAGAAAACGUAUAAUACACAAACCCGACAGGAAAGCUCGCGGUCUCGCGAUCUGCCGGUAUUCGUCGAAUCUUCGAUCAGUCCAGAUCGAGCUGAAGUUGGCGAGCACAGGAACAAGAGACGUAUCGUCCAUUUGAAUAUCAAAUUUGAUGCAGCGGCAUAGCUCUUUCGCGUAUCGCGUUAUCCAUAAUCGUAUUCAAAUGAAGAUCACAUAAGGUAUGCUGUUUUAACGGAGGUUAACUCUCGAAGCGCCGUCUUUCUUUCUCUAGCGCCCUCUAGUUUUCCUCCGUUGUCCCCUUCCACUGUUGCAUCUCUGGUCAGCGUUCGCAGUAUGGCGCGGAGUGGGACGAAAGAGAGGCUACGUUCGGUGACGAACAAUAACGAUAAAGCGUAUAAUGGUUAAGCGCGACAAAUAUACAUAGGCAGCUCUAGGAGCGCGAGCUUCCUUGGAACUUGGAGCGCCAACGAAGUGCGGUGCAACGGAGGGAGAGAGAGAGAAAAACAUAGAGCGAGAGAGAGUGUGAUAGAGGUGAACGGAGGAGGAAGAGGUUAGAGAAGGGAUCCACAUAUGCAUACAAUUGAUACAGAUAUACCAUCGUCUUUAUAUACGUGUCGCGUUAUUCUUGCUGCUGCCGCGCGCGGUAUACCGAGCCGGCAUAACACGAACGGCCCGAGCGGAGAGCGCCUCAUAGUCUACAAUACGAUAACGCCGCUCUCAUAGAUUCGAUGUAGCCAGCCGAACGAACCAGACUACCGGAUACCUGCGCGACCGUCCUCCGCCGCCUUAUUGCGCUGACUAUUCGCGACAGGACAGGUUCGCGUACAUCUGUUCUUGUCAUAAGGAGUGAUUUAGGGCUGGUUGCGGGCAUUGAUCUACCCGCCGCGGAGGAUAUCGACCAUAGAACCACGGAUCUCCCUUCAAAAAAUCCAAGAUCGAACGUGUUUCAUUGAGCAACAACGUUUCAAUGCCAUUUUUCAGGAUCCAUUGUUACACCCGAGUCAGAAGAGAGGUAGGCCUGGCCACGUUGGUACCGCCUACUAGAGUGAUCCCGACAAGGAAGGACUUGACCAACCUCGUCCUGCCCCUCCAGCACGAUCCUCUACUCCUGGACUCAACCUGACGGGAUCACGUUCUGUGCCGUCGUUCCGAUUAAUUCUUUUGCUGUAAAGGGUGCACUCUUUGGCCGAUUCACCUGUCGCAAAGCGUAUUGGAGAUCGUUGAUGCCGUGGAAAGAGAAAUGGCGGCGGUUCAGGUUUAUGCAACCCAGAUAUAUUUAUCAUUCUUCCAGAGGAGUAAUUGCAAGAACAUCGAUGACAGAAAAUCUUCAUUCAUCGGUCUUCGUCCACUGAACCAGAUGAAUCGAACCUACGUCACAACUUAUUAAGUCGAUAUUCCACGAAGACGACACUUUUGAAAAUUUCCUUGCCUCGUUGCCAAAUCUUCAAAUUCCCCCAAACGAAUUAGGUGUAUGUUUUUUAAUCAACGCUCCUAAGCACGCGUGCUUCAUCGUGACAAUCGUAGCGAGGAUAGGACAGGAUAGCACAGCGACAAUUAACCACGUUCGUCCAGUAGCUGAUGUAUAUACAUAUAUAUCGGGUUUCGUGAUAUUUCUUAAUUAAAUAUAGCCUCAAGUUAAAAAUGAAAUUAAAUAGAAGCCAGUAUUUUUCGCCGCCGCCUACCGGCGCCGCGUCCACCGCAUGGCCAACCCUUUCAACCAGUUUCUCGGUCGUCGACAAUGGCGAGAGUAAGGUUGCACGGCCGUCGUACGCCCAUUUCGACUCUCUCUGCAACCCCUUCUCGCUUUCCACGGGCCACCCACCAUACAUAUUUCACGUCGAAAUAAUUAAACGCCGCUGGACCGCGAGUCGACUCGCCUCGGCUCGACUUCGAAGCCUGGCCUCGCUGAUUAUUAAUUAGAUCGUGCGUGCCUUACCGAGGCAAGCCUCUCGAUUUCCCGAUAAGCUGCUGACCAUCGGUGUGGGCUCCUAGCCAUGAAAACUCCUGCGGUAAAACGAGUAUUAAUGGAAACUGAUAGACCCAACCGAUUAUCUUUGCGUGCAAAGAGACGUUCUAGUUAUAUGCGUGUUGGAUUAUCUUUGUUUGAAUUUCAUUUUACCCUCCUUAUACGGAACAGUGGUGUUUUUAAAUGAUUUAAAAUAAUGUAAAAUGAUUUUAAUAUUAAAAAUGCUGCAUAGGGAAUAUUUGAAUCGCAUCGGUUUGUCUUAAGAUCAACGUUGAUUUACUAUUUUUGCUAUUGAAACAGAAACAUCUAUUUUCUUUAUUACACAGUGUGUGUUCUUUUUCUGUUAAAUCCUCUGCAAUUUAUAGAUACUUGAAUCAGGUAGAUCAUUUGUAACACUCUGGGAGUCUUCUCUUAAAACAAAAAUUACUUUGAAACUUUCGACAAGAUAUAAGUGACAUAAUGACAAUUAUAGGAAAAAAAUAUAGAAAUAGAAUUUUUAAAAUACUUAAGCAUUGAAAAUUAGAGCUACAUACAAAUAAGUAAUUUAUGUCAUACCGAUUAAUAUAAGAAGGUUUCCCUAAAGAUUCUUAGGACUCUUAAAAUUAUCUUAACAAUGUUAAAACAUUUGUUCAUCGUCUUAAUGAUCUACUGUUCAAUUUGUCGAGAAGUUUGACGUUCGCGUGGCGCUAAUUCUUGGAGAUACUGUCAUCUCAAAGGCGAUUAUCAAUUGCCUUGUCAAUUACACCCCGUCCAAGAAUGACGUGCACAUGUUACUGAACCCUCCUGUAACUAGACCCCUGCUCUUCCUCUGUGUUGCUGCGACCGAAUCUCGAGGCUCUGGCAUGAUCGCAACGAGUUAUUUAAUUACCACGAUCUAUCACCGGCUGUCAGCUUCCAGUCUAUAAUGCAUGAUCGAUCGAGCCUCGACUUUCCUACGGCAACCCUUUGCGUCCACACCUCCGGUCCCGUGUGUGUUACGCGUGUUCAUCUAACCGAAACGCCAAGAAAAUCUCUUCUGUUCCGUCAGAUUUUCUGUCGUUGAUACCUUUAUACCUUUGUUUGAGAAAGCAGCUACGAAGUAUUUUCUUUUCUUUUUCAUAUCUCAUAGUAAUUAUUAUAUUACAAAUAUUUCUUACGUAAUAUAAUAUAUUGAGAGCAUUCAUUAUUUUACUUCUUUUCCUGAAGAAUUCCUCACUUUUUCUAUAUCUAUAGUAUAAUCGCAUAAAGUAUUU
Molecule: long non-coding RNA, 4269 nt
Organism: Bombus huntii
Lineage: Eukaryota; Metazoa; Arthropoda; Insecta; Hymenoptera; Apidae
Exons: 4
Source: RefSeq, a predicted model, not a curated record